This 465-nucleotide ribosomal RNA is filed under the name Vreelandella stevensii. RNAcentral describes it as "partial 16S ribosomal RNA". It matches the Rfam family "Bacterial small subunit ribosomal RNA", at positions 338 to 795 of the family's 1533-position model. Lineage: Bacteria; Pseudomonadati; Pseudomonadota; Gammaproteobacteria; Oceanospirillales; Halomonadaceae. The record is from RNAcentral.
CCUACGGGGGGCAGCAGUGGGGAAUAUUGGACAAUGGGGGGAACCCUGAUCCAGCCAUGCCGCGUGUGUGAAGAAGGCCCUCGGGUUGUAAAGCACUUUCAGUGAGGAAGAACGCCUGGUGGUUAAUACCCAUCAGGAAAGACAUCACUCACAGAAGAAGCACCGGCUAACUCCGUGCCAGCAGCCGCGGUAAUACGGAGGGUGCGAGCGGUAAUCGGAAUUACUGGGCGUAAAGCGCGCGUAGGUGGCUUGAUAAGCCGGUUGUGAAAGCCCCGGGCUCAACCUGGGAACGGCAUCCGGAACUGUCAAGCUAGAGUGCAGGAGAGGAAGGUAGAAUUCCCGGUGUAGCGGUGAAAUGCGUAGAGAUCGGGAGGAAUACCAGUGGCGAAGGCGGCCUUCUGGACUGACACUGACACUGAGGUGCGAAAGCGUGGGUAGCAAACAGGAUUAGAUACCCGUGUAGUC